Molecule: ribosomal RNA, 1554 nt
Filed under: Salmonella enterica subsp. enterica
Lineage: Bacteria; Pseudomonadati; Pseudomonadota; Gammaproteobacteria; Enterobacterales; Enterobacteriaceae
Description: bacterial SSU rRNA
Rfam family: Bacterial small subunit ribosomal RNA
Source: RNAcentral
UUAAAUUGAAGAGUUUGAUCAUGGCUCAGAUUGAACGCUGGCGGCAGGCCUAACACAUGCAAGUCGAACGGUAACAGGAAGCAGCUUGCUGCUUUGCUGACGAGUGGCGGACGGGUGAGUAAUGUCUGGGAAACUGCCUGAUGGAGGGGGAUAACUACUGGAAACGGUGGCUAAUACCGCAUAACGUCGCAAGACCAAAGAGGGGGACCUUCGGGCCUCUUGCCAUCAGAUGUGCCCAGAUGGGAUUAGCUUGUUGGUGAGGUAACGGCUCACCAAGGCGACGAUCCCUAGCUGGUCUGAGAGGAUGACCAGCCACACUGGAACUGAGACACGGUCCAGACUCCUACGGGAGGCAGCAGUGGGGAAUAUUGCACAAUGGGCGCAAGCCUGAUGCAGCCAUGCCGCGUGUAUGAAGAAGGCCUUCGGGUUGUAAAGUACUUUCAGCGGGGAGGAAGGUGUUGUGGUUAAUAACCACAGCAAUUGACGUUACCCGCAGAAGAAGCACCGGCUAACUCCGUGCCAGCAGCCGCGGUAAUACGGAGGGUGCAAGCGUUAAUCGGAAUUACUGGGCGUAAAGCGCACGCAGGCGGUCUGUCAAGUCGGAUGUGAAAUCCCCGGGCUCAACCUGGGAACUGCAUUCGAAACUGGCAGGCUUGAGUCUUGUAGAGGGGGGUAGAAUUCCAGGUGUAGCGGUGAAAUGCGUAGAGAUCUGGAGGAAUACCGGUGGCGAAGGCGGCCCCCUGGACAAAGACUGACGCUCAGGUGCGAAAGCGUGGGGAGCAAACAGGAUUAGAUACCCUGGUAGUCCACGCCGUAAACGAUGUCUACUUGGAGGUUGUGCCCUUGAGGCGUGGCUUCCGGAGCUAACGCGUUAAGUAGACCGCCUGGGGAGUACGGCCGCAAGGUUAAAACUCAAAUGAAUUGACGGGGGCCCGCACAAGCGGUGGAGCAUGUGGUUUAAUUCGAUGCAACGCGAAGAACCUUACCUGGUCUUGACAUCCACGGAAGUUUUCAGAGAUGAGAAUGUGCCUUCGGGAACCGUGAGACAGGUGCUGCAUGGCUGUCGUCAGCUCGUGUUGUGAAAUGUUGGGUUAAGUCCCGCAACGAGCGCAACCCUUAUCCUUUGUUGCCAGCGAUUCGGUCGGGAACUCAAAGGAGACUGCCAGUGAUAAACUGGAGGAAGGUGGGGAUGACGUCAAGUCAUCAUGGCCCUUACGACCAGGGCUACACACGUGCUACAAUGGCGCAUACAAAGAGAAGCGACCUCGCGAGAGCAAGCGGACCUCAUAAAGUGCGUCGUAGUCCGGAUUGGAGUCUGCAACUCGACUCCGUGAAGUCGGAAUCGCUAGUAAUCGUGGAUCAGAAUGCCACGGUGAAUACGUUCCCGGGCCUUGUACACACCGCCCGUCACACCAUGGGAGUGGGUUGCAAAAGAAGUAGGUAGCUUAACCUUCGGGAGGGCGCUUACCACUUUGUGAUUCAUGACUGGGGUGAAGUCGUAACAAGGUAACCGUAGGGGAACCUGCGGUUGGAUCACCUCCUUACCUUAAAGAA